GACGAACGCUGGCGGCGUGCUUAACACAUGCAAGUCGAACGGAAAGGCCUGCUUUCCCUUGUGGAUUGCGGGUACUCGAGUGGCGAACGGGUGAGUAACACGUGAGUGAUCUGCCCCCAACUUGGGUAUAAGCCUGGGAAACUGGGUCUAAUUCCCGAUAGGACUGCAGGGUGGUGCCUGUGGUGGAAAACGAUUUUCUAGUGGUUGGGGAUGAGCUCGCGGCCUAUCAGCUUGUUGGUGGGGUAAUGGCCUACCAAGGCGGCGACGGGUAGCCGGCCUGAGAGGGUGGACGGCCACAUUGGGACUGAGACAAGGCCCAGACUCCUACGGGAGGCAGCAGUGGGGAAUAUUGCACAAUGGGCGGAAGCCUGAUGCAGCGACGCAGCGUGGGGGAUGACGGCCUUCGGGUUGUAAACUCCUUUCGACCGCGAGGAAGCCACCUGGUUGGAAGGGUGGUGACGGUAGUGGUAGAAGAAGCACCGGCUAACUACGUG
RNAcentral lists this ribosomal RNA (494 nucleotides) under uncultured bacterium. RNAcentral's name for it is "partial 16S ribosomal RNA". It matches the Rfam family "Bacterial small subunit ribosomal RNA", at positions 28 to 507 of the family's 1533-position model. The record is from RNAcentral.